Molecule: ribosomal RNA, 492 nt
Filed under: uncultured bacterium
Lineage: Bacteria
Description: partial 16S ribosomal RNA
Rfam family: Bacterial small subunit ribosomal RNA
Source: RNAcentral
AGUGAACGCUGGCGGUAGGCCUAACACAUGCAAGUCGAACGGCAGCACAGUAAGAGCUUGCUCUUACGGGUGGCGAGUGGCGGACGGGUGAGGAAUACAUCGGAAUCUACUUUUUCGUGGGGGAUAACGUAGGGAAACUUACGCUAAUACCGCAUACGACCUACGGGUGAAAGCAGGGGAUCUUCGGACCUUGCGCGAUUGAAUGAGCCGAUGUCGGAUUAGCUAGUUGGCGGGGUAAAGGCCCACCAAGGCGACGAUCCGUAGCUGGUCUGAGAGGAUGGUCAGCCGCACUGGAACUGAGACACGGUCCAGCCUCCUACGGGAGGCAGCAGUGGGGAAUAUUGGACAAUGGGCGCAAGCCUGAUCCAGCCAUACCGCGUGGGUGAAGAAGGCCUUCGGGUUGUAAAGCCCUUUUGUUGGGAAAGAAAAGCAGCAGGUUAAUACCCCGCUGUUCUGACGGUACCCAAAGAAUAAGCACCGGCUAACUUCGUG